This 492-nucleotide ribosomal RNA is filed under the name uncultured bacterium. RNAcentral describes it as "partial 16S ribosomal RNA". It matches the Rfam family "Bacterial small subunit ribosomal RNA", at positions 29 to 507 of the family's 1533-position model. The record is from RNAcentral.
AGUGAACGCUGGCGGUAGGCCUAACACAUGCAAGUCGAACGGCAGCACAGUAAGAGCUUGCUCUUACGGGUGGCGAGUGGCGGACGGGUGCGGAAUACAUCGGAAUCUACUUUUUCGUGGGGGAUAACGUAGGGAAACUUACGCUAAUACCGCAUACGACCUACGGGUGAAAGCAGGGGAUCUUCGGACCUUGCGCGAGUGAAUGAGCCGAUGUCGGAUUAGCUAGUUGGCGGGGUAAAGGCCCACCAAGGCGACGAUCCGUAGCUGGUCUGAGAGGAUGAUCAGCCACACUGGAACUGAGACACGGUCCAGACUCCUACGGGAGGCAGCAGUGGGGAAUAUUGGACAAUGGGCGCAAGCCUGAUCCAGCCAUACCGCGUGAGUGAAGAAGGCCUUCGGGUUGUAAAGCCCUUUUGUUGGGAAAGAAAAGCAGCAGGUUAAUACCCCGCUGUUCUGACGGUACCCAAAGAAUAAGCACCGGCUAACUUCGUG